CAGGUGGCCGCACCUUGCACCGGGACUGCCAUGGAAAAAUGUCCGGCAGGGGUGCCAUCACUUAAAAUUGAGAAGACCGUUUCAGACUUGCUCCCCGGCUAUUUUGCGCUGAAGGUGCUCUGACAGGAGAAGGGGUCGGUGCUGAAAUGCUUAAAGGGAGCAUUUAAACACAGAGACUUCAAUGAAGGAAGAAAGAAUGGGCGUGGAGGUGGGAAAAAGUUGGAAAAUGGAUUCGCUGACAAUCAAAAUGUCCCAGGAAACCGCAGGAAACAUGUCGACAGUGUCUGUAACAGCCGUGCACACGCGUUCACGGACACUCCCUGUGAAUGGCUGCGUGCCGGGACACAGCUGGAGGGGGUGGCUGCAGCAAGCCCUGACAUCCCUGUUGAGCCCUCCGUCCCUCUGUCCAUCUGUCGGA
This is a long non-coding RNA of Passer domesticus (house sparrow), 418 nucleotides long. RefSeq lists it as uncharacterized. Lineage: Eukaryota; Metazoa; Chordata; Aves; Passeriformes; Passeridae. The record is from RefSeq and is a predicted model, not a curated record. The transcript is spliced from 3 exons.